Molecule: ribosomal RNA, 273 nt
Filed under: uncultured bacterium
Lineage: Bacteria
Description: partial 16S ribosomal RNA
Rfam family: Bacterial small subunit ribosomal RNA
Source: RNAcentral
GACGGAGGGGGCAAGCGUUGUCCGGACUUACUGGGCGUAAAGCGCACGUAGGCGGCGCGGUGCGUCGGUGCUGAAAGCGCCAGGCUUAACCUGGCGAGGCGUGCCGAUACGACCGGGCUCGAGGCAGGCAGAGGGUGGCGGAAUUCCGGGUGUAGUGGUGAAAUGCGUAGAGAUCCGGAGGAACGCCGGUGGCGCAAGCGGCCACCUGGGCCUGACCUGACGCUGAGGUGCGAAAGCGUGGGGAGCGAACCGGAUUAGAUACCCCCGUAGUCC